RNAcentral lists this microRNA (23 nucleotides) under Capitella teleta. RNAcentral describes it as "cte-miR-2692". The record is from miRBase by way of RNAcentral. Lineage: Eukaryota; Metazoa; Annelida; Polychaeta; Capitellidae.
CCAGUCAAUGUUGACACCACCGC